UACAGAGGGUGCGAGCGUUAAUCGGAGUUACUGGGCGUAAAGGGCGCGUAGGCGGUUUGUUAAGUCAGUUGUGAAAGCCCAGGGCUCAACCUUGGAACUGCAAUUGAUACUGGCCGACUAGAGUCGAAGAGAGGGAAGCGGAAUUUCCGGUGUAGCGGUGAAAUGCGUAGAUAUCGGAAGGAACACCCGUGGCGAAGGCGGCUUCCUGGCUUCAGACUGACGCUGAGGCGCGAAAGCGUGGGGAGCAAACAGGAUUAGAUACCCCGGUA
RNAcentral lists this ribosomal RNA (269 nucleotides) under uncultured prokaryote. RNAcentral's name for it is "partial 16S ribosomal RNA". It matches the Rfam family "Bacterial small subunit ribosomal RNA", at positions 524 to 792 of the family's 1533-position model. The record is from RNAcentral.